This 510-nucleotide ribosomal RNA is filed under the name uncultured bacterium. RNAcentral's name for it is "partial 16S ribosomal RNA". It matches the Rfam family "Bacterial small subunit ribosomal RNA", at positions 28 to 523 of the family's 1533-position model. The record is from RNAcentral.
GACGAACGCUGGCGGCGUGCCUAAUACAUGCAAGUCGAACGGUUUAGUUCCAAGAGGCGUGCCUGUUGGGACUAGGCAGUGGCGGACGGGUGAGUAACACGUAGGCAACCUACCUGUCAAACCGGGAUAACCUCGGGAAACCGAAGCUAAACCCGGAUAAGCUCCUUUUUCGCAUGAAGGGGGAGUGAAAAGGUGCGACCUGAUUACAGAUGGGCCUGGGGCGCAUUAGCUAGUAGGUAGGGUAACGGCCUACCUAGGCGAUGAUGCGUAGCCGACCUGAGAGGGCGUACGGCCACACUGGGACUGAGAUACGGCCCAGACUCCUACGGGAGGCAGCAGUAGGGAAUCUUCGGCAAUGGGCGAAAGCCUGACCGAGCAACGCCGCGUGAGUGAGGAAGGCCUUCGGGUUGUAAAACUCUGUUGUUUGGGAAGAAGGGAAAGGGUAGGACCCUUUGGUGACGGUACCAAACGAGAAAGCCCCGGCUAACUACGUGCCAGCAGCCGCGGUAA